GAAAUGCGAUAAGUAGUGUGAAUUGCAGAAUUCAGUGAAUCAUCGAAUCUUUGAACGCACAUUGCGCCCUUUGGUAUUCCAAAGGGCAUGCCUGUUCGAGCGUCAUUUGUACCCUCAAGCCUUGCUUGGUGUUGGGCGUUUGUCUCCUGGGACUCGCCUUAAAUUGAUUGGCAGCCGGCCUACUGGUUUCGGAGCGCAGCACAUUGCUUGCUCUUACCACUCAAAGCCAGCGUCCAUGAAGUCUAUACAUUUAACUUUUGACCUCGGAUCAGGUAGGGAUACCCGCUGAACUUAA
RNAcentral lists this unclassified non-coding RNA (295 nucleotides) under uncultured Pleosporales. RNAcentral's name for it is "sequence contains ITS1". The stretch from base 1 to 105 matches the Rfam family "5.8S ribosomal RNA", at positions 50 to 154 of the family's 154-position model. Lineage: Eukaryota; Fungi; Ascomycota; Dothideomycetes; Pleosporales. The record is from RNAcentral.